GACGAACGCUGGCGGCGUGCUUAACACAUGCAAGUCGAACGGAAAGGCCCUGCUUUUGUGGGGUGCUCGAUUGGCGAACGGGUGAGUAUCACGUGAGUAACCUGCCCUUGACUUUGGGAUAACUUCAGGGAACUGGGGCUAAUACCGGAUAGGAGCUCUUGCUGCAUGGGGUGGGUUGGAAAGUUUCGGCGGUUGGGGAUGGACUCGCGGGUUAUCAGCUGGUUGGUGGGGUAGUGGCGUUCCAAGGUUUUGACGGGUAGCCGGCCUGAGAGGGUGACCGGCCACAUUGGGACUGAGAUACGGACCAGACUCCUACGGGCGGCAGCAGUGGGGAAUAUUGCACAAUGGGCGGAAGCCUGAUGCAGCAACGCCGCGUGCGGGAUGACGGCCUUCGGGUUGUGAACCGCUUUCGACUGUGACGAAGCGUGCGUGACGGUAAUGGGUAAAGAAGCACCGGCUAACUACGUG
Molecule: ribosomal RNA, 468 nt
Filed under: uncultured bacterium
Lineage: Bacteria
Description: partial 16S ribosomal RNA
Rfam family: Bacterial small subunit ribosomal RNA
Source: RNAcentral